This 255-nucleotide ribosomal RNA is filed under the name Triticum aestivum (bread wheat). RNAcentral describes it as "partial small subunit ribosomal RNA". The record is from RNAcentral. Lineage: Eukaryota; Viridiplantae; Streptophyta; Magnoliopsida; Poales; Poaceae.
AUGAUCCCUGACGUGACGCUGGGGCUGGGCGGCGGCGCUGCGGUCACGCUGAAGGCGGAGAACACGUUCUUGGAGGUGCAGGAGGGGACUUUAUGCUUGGCGGUGUCUGACCAGUUUUCUCCUAUGUCCAUCAUCGGGAACAUCGCGCAGCAGAACAUGCACGUUGGGUACGAUCUCGACAAGGGCACCGUCACCUUCGCUCCAGCAGACUGCGCGCGUUCCUACCCCGCCCCCUCACCCUCCGGUUCUGUGUAG